UGGGCUCGGUGCUUGGAGCUUUAUCGCUGCUUGGAGGUAGAGGUUACGCAUGAAAGCAAUUAUUGAGCUCCCACCUUGUGCUGAGUCCUGUGUCCGGGGAUAUAGGGGUGAGGAAGAGAGGCAAGGCACCGCCCUCGUGGAACUUGCAUUCUAGUAGGCUAAUAAACACGCAAAUGAACAAUAUACUUUCAAAUCGGGGUAGUGCAGCGAAGACAAUGCACCAGGGAGCUGUGAGGCGGCACCGUGACCAGCCCUGUGUGGGAAUGUCCUAAGUGCUGCCGAGGAGGCGGGACCAGUUAUCCUGGUGGUGGAGUGACGGGAGUGAAAGUGCUGCCUCAUAUGGUGAUUCCACAUUUGGCUUUUUGAGGAACUGUCAAACUGUUUUCCAUGAUGGCUGCACUAUUUGACAUUCUCACCAGCAACGUCUGAGGGUGGAAACCUUGAUUCUUAAAACCAAACAGGUGUCAGCUGCUUGCCAGGAAAUGGGCAGACUCUGGUGAACUGAUGAUACCGCUAUUUGGACAACUGUGAUCAGGCCAUCUAU
RNAcentral lists this long non-coding RNA (544 nucleotides) under Equus asinus (donkey). RNAcentral's name for it is "lncRNA (ENSEASG00005031285.1)". Lineage: Eukaryota; Metazoa; Chordata; Mammalia; Perissodactyla; Equidae. The record is from RNAcentral.